UGGGGAAUAUUGCACAAUGGGCGCAAGCCUGAUGCAGCCAUGCCGCGUGUAUGAAGAAGGCCUUCGGGUUGUAAAGUACUUUCAGUCGGGAGGAAGGUGGUAAGGUUAAUAACCUUGGCAAUUGACGUUACCGACAGAAGAAGCACCGGCUAACUCCGUGCCAGCAGCCGCGGUAAUACGGAGGGUGCAAGCGUUAAUCGGAAUUACUGGGCGUAAAGCGCACGCAGGCGGUUGAUUGAGUCAGAUGUGAAAUCCCCGGGCUUAACCCGGGAAUUGCAUCUGAUACUGGUCAGCUAGAGUCUUGUAGAGGGGGGUAGAAUUCCAUGUGUAGCGGUGAAAUGAGUAGAGAUGUGGAGGAAUACCGGUGGCGAAGGCGGCCCCCUGGACAAAGACUGACGCUCAGGUGCGAAAGCGUGGGGAGCAAACAGG
RNAcentral lists this ribosomal RNA (429 nucleotides) under Chloroflexota bacterium. RNAcentral's name for it is "Chloroflexi bacterium partial 16S ribosomal RNA". It matches the Rfam family "Bacterial small subunit ribosomal RNA", at positions 355 to 776 of the family's 1533-position model. Lineage: Bacteria; Bacillati; Chloroflexota. The record is from RNAcentral.